This 406-nucleotide ribosomal RNA is filed under the name uncultured bacterium. Its description in RNAcentral is "partial 16S ribosomal RNA". It matches the Rfam family "Bacterial small subunit ribosomal RNA", at positions 30 to 526 of the family's 1533-position model. The record is from RNAcentral.
AUUGAACGCUGGCGGCAGGCCUAACACAUGCAAGUCGAACGAGUGGCGGACGGGUGAGUAAUGUCUGGGAAACUGCCUGAUGGCGGGGGAUAACUACUGGAAACGGUAGCUAAUACCGCAUACCAUCAGAUGUGCCCAGAUGGGAUUAGCUAGUUGGUGGGGUAAUGGCUCACCAAGGCGACGAUCCCUAGCUGGUCUGAGAGGAUGACCAGCCACACUGGAACUGAGACACGGGCCAGACUCCUACGGGAGGCAGCAGUGGGGAAUAUUGCACAAUGGGGGCAAGCCUGAUGCAGCCAUGCCGCGUGUAUGAAGAAGGCCUUCGGGUUGUAAAGUACUUUUAGCGGGGAGGCGUUACCUGCAGAAUAAGCACCGGCUAACUACGUGCCAGCAGCCGCGGUAAUAC